UUCACUUCCACUCUUUAAAGAUUGUGUUCAUAUCAUAGUCGUUCACUGUGUCAUUCCACUGUUAUACUGUUUCCAAACAAGUUGAUAAUAACUUGGUUUCCUCUGGUAUGAGCAGACAAGUGUACAAACAAAAACACAGAUAUGUUCUGAAAGCCUUUCUUGAAUCUCCGUUAUACAGAUGUGCAGAUCAGUUACAGCUCUUCUCUUAAAAUAAACCAAGAAACUAUCAAAAAUAUUAUACAAACCCCAAAGAGCUUAUUCUGGAAUCAAGACAAUGAAUCUUAUUGCAGA
This 291-nucleotide long non-coding RNA is filed under the name Homo sapiens (human). RNAcentral's name for it is "non-protein coding lnc-SNX10-88:1". Lineage: Eukaryota; Metazoa; Chordata; Mammalia; Primates; Hominidae. The record is from RNAcentral.